This 134-nucleotide non-coding RNA is filed under the name Blastococcus saxobsidens. RNAcentral describes it as "SAM-I sequence". It matches the Rfam family "SAM riboswitch aptamer (S box leader)". From Rfam's summary of the family: The SAM riboswitch is found upstream of a number of genes which code for proteins involved in methionine or cysteine biosynthesis in Gram-positive bacteria. The SAM riboswitch acts at the level of transcription termination control. The predicted structure consists of a complex stem-loop region followed by a single stem loop terminator region. RNAcentral also lists the same sequence under 1 other name. The record is from RNAcentral. Lineage: Bacteria; Bacillati; Actinomycetota; Actinomycetes; Geodermatophilales; Geodermatophilaceae.
CACUCAUCCAGAGGGGCAGAGGGACACGGCCCGAUGAAGCCCCGGCAACCGCCGUCCGACGCGAUUUCCGCGCCGACGGGAGGUGCCAAUUCCGUCCCGCGCGGCUCGACGGCCCGCAGCGGGGAAGAUGAGGA